RNAcentral lists this ribosomal RNA (261 nucleotides) under uncultured bacterium. Its description in RNAcentral is "partial 16S ribosomal RNA". It matches the Rfam family "Bacterial small subunit ribosomal RNA", at positions 15 to 257 of the family's 1533-position model. The record is from RNAcentral.
GAUCCUGGCUCAAGAUGAACGCUGGCGGCGUACUUAACACAUGCAAGUCGAACGAAGCACUUAAGAAUGAUUCUUCGGAUGAAUUUUUUUGUGACUUAGUGGCGGACGGGUGAGUAACGCGUGGGUAACCUGCCUCACACAGGGGGAUAACAGUUGGAAACGACCGCUAAUACCGCAUAACCCCGCUAGGGCCGCAUGGCCCGGACGGAAAAGNUUUAUCGGUGUGAGAUGGACCCGCGUUGGAUUAGCUAGUUGGCAGGG